GCCUACGGGAGGCAGCAGUCAGGAAUAUUGCGCAAUGGAGGAAACUCUGACGCAGCGACGCCGCGUGGGUGAUGAAGGCCUUCGGGUUGUAAAGUCCUUUCGGCGGGGAAGAUGAUGACGGUACCCGCAGAAGAAGCCCCGGCUAACUUCGUGCCAGCAGCCGCGGUC
This 168-nucleotide ribosomal RNA is filed under the name uncultured bacterium. Its description in RNAcentral is "partial 16S ribosomal RNA". It matches the Rfam family "Bacterial small subunit ribosomal RNA", at positions 337 to 522 of the family's 1533-position model. The record is from RNAcentral.